This 518-nucleotide ribosomal RNA is filed under the name Ulocladium sp. JH14. Its description in RNAcentral is "eukaryotic LSU rRNA". The stretch from base 162 to 315 matches the Rfam family "5.8S ribosomal RNA". The record is from RNAcentral. Lineage: Eukaryota; Fungi; Ascomycota; Dothideomycetes; Pleosporales; Pleosporaceae.
UAGAUCAGAGAAGCAGGCUGGCAUCCUUCGGGGUUCAGCCUUGCUGAUUAUUCCCCGUGUCUUUUGCGUACUUCUUGUUUCCUUGGUGGGUUCGCCCACCAUAGGACAAACCAUAAACCUUUUGUAAUUGCAAUCAGCGUCAGUAAAAAAUUAAUAAUUACAACUUUUAACAACGGAUCUCUUGGUUCUGGCAUCGAUGAAGAACGCAGCGAAAUGCGAUAAGUAGUGUGAAUUGCAGAAUUCAGUGAAUCAUCGAAUCUUUGAACGCACAUUGCGCCCUUUGGUAUUCCAAAAAACAUGCCUGUUCGAGCGUCAUUUGUACCCUCAAGCUUUGCUUGGUGUUGGGCGUCUUGUCUCCAGUUCGCUGGAGACUCGCCUUAAAGUAAUUGUAUGCAGCCGGCCUACUGGUUUCGGAGCGCAGCACAAGUCGCGCUCUCUUCCAGCCAAGGAUACAAAAAAAUCUCUUCAAACUAUUUAGGGAUACCCGCUGAACUUAAGCAUAUCAAUAANCGGAGGAA